Long non-coding RNA from Setaria italica (foxtail millet), 1131 nucleotides. RefSeq lists it as uncharacterized. NCBI's taxonomy places the organism in Eukaryota, Viridiplantae, Streptophyta, Magnoliopsida, Poales, Poaceae. The record is from RefSeq and is a predicted model, not a curated record. The transcript is spliced from 5 exons.
CUAUUUCUCUGUUUCGACGGUCCCUAGCUCCGCCGCCAUCUGCGGCAUGCCGCGAUGCGCCGCGGACGCGAGCCACCCAAGGUCCCAGUAGCUCGAGCUCCCCACGGCACAUGGCAGUGCCUUGUCGUCACCUCUGAGCAGCGCCUGCUCAAGGUAGCCUGUGCCGUCCCACCGCCUGUUGCCCGGCGCAUUGGCUGCCACGCCUUCGCGCAGCGCACGGCCUACCUCAAGGAGGGGCAUGGACGAGGAGCGCGAACGGGAGCUCCUGAUUUGGUGGGGGUGGUGCCAUGGCCGACUCCUCGGAUGAGGCGACACACAUUCUGCAUAUCAUGCUUGAUUAGUGGUCGAUUUGGAAGCUGAAUGAACCAAAUCACUUCAACACUUGACAGAUCGAGUAACAUUGCCAAGAAGCAAACAAUAAAAUAAGAUGUGUGCUGCUCUGCGAUAUUGGAUUGAUACACGGAGAACCCUGAACCCUAGGCUUGUCACUGGAAGGUAUAUAAUUUUCUACUGGUACCCUCCCUAUUUGAAGUGGGUGUGGAUUUGAGGAGAAGGUAUGGAUACCCAGUAGCAGGCCUACUGGUGCCGCAGGGACAGCCUUGCUUCUUCUUCUUGAUAGCAGUAGAGUUCAACUGUUCAAGAUGAUCUAGGAAGGCAUAUCAGCUGGCUCAUGUUGACUGCUGCUUUGAGUUCCUGGAUUCUUUCAAAUUGGCCUCCAAAGUGAAAUCUCACAGAAACUUGACGACACAACAGGGAGGCAAGGAUGAAACCUAAUGACGAGCGAGAGGAGGGCAACGCACGAGGCGAUGGUCCGUGGAUCUAAAGGUACUUGCCAUGUAGGAUGGCUGAUGUGUCAAUACAGUCAUCAAAACUGGUUUUCCAAACCCGCUAAAUCCGCGAAUAUGGUUUUACAUGUGGUCAAAAGGUGAAGUUUGAACUGGUUUUGUAAAUACAGGAGGUUAAAUAAACCUUUUGUUUCUUUAGGAGGUUAUUUGGACCUAGCUUGUACUUGGGGUAGUAAAUUGGACUUUUUUCUAUACAAAAUGUAAGCAAAAAAUUGCAUCGUAGUCAACUCUAGGCCAGCUGAACACUGAUUAGUUAUUUCUAGUCUAUCAACCGAUACUUCUACAC